Molecule: ribosomal RNA, 443 nt
Filed under: Vibrio parahaemolyticus
Lineage: Bacteria; Pseudomonadati; Pseudomonadota; Gammaproteobacteria; Vibrionales; Vibrionaceae
Description: partial 23S ribosomal RNA
Rfam family: Bacterial large subunit ribosomal RNA
Source: RNAcentral
CGGCGGCCGUAACUAUAACGGUCCUAAGGUAGCGAAAUUCCUUGUCGGGUAAGUUCCGACCUGCACGAAUGGCGUAAUGAUGGCCACGCUGUCUCCACCCGAGACUCAGUGAAAUUGAAAUCGCUGUGAAGAUGCAGUGUACCCGCGGCUAGACGGAAAGACCCCGUGAACCUUUACUACAGCUUGGCACUGAACAUUGACCCUACAUGUGUAGGAUAGGUGGGAGGCUUUGAAGCAGGUACGCCAGUAUGUGUGGAGCCGUCCUUGAAAUACCACCCUUGUAGUGUUGAUGUUCUAACGUUGACCCCUUAUCGGGGUUGCGGACAGUGCCUGGUGGGUAGUUUGACUGGGGCGGUCUCCUCCCAAAGAGUAACGGAGGAGCACGAAGGUGGGCUAAUCACGGUUGGACAUCGUGAGGUUAGUGCAAUGGCAUAAGCCCGCUU